GUGCUUGCUUUGGCAGCACAUAUACUAAAAUUGGAACGAUACAGAGAAGAUUAGCAUGACCCCUGCACAAGGAAGACACACAAAUUGGUGAAGUGUUCCAUAUUUUU
Molecule: small nuclear RNA, 107 nt
Organism: Nycticebus coucang (slow loris)
Lineage: Eukaryota; Metazoa; Chordata; Mammalia; Primates; Lorisidae
Source: RefSeq, a predicted model, not a curated record